RNAcentral lists this ribosomal RNA (218 nucleotides) under uncultured bacterium. RNAcentral describes it as "partial 16S ribosomal RNA". It matches the Rfam family "Bacterial small subunit ribosomal RNA", at positions 337 to 572 of the family's 1533-position model. The record is from RNAcentral.
UCCUCCGGGAGGCAGCAGUCGGGAAUUUUGUCCAAUGGGCGAAAGCCUGACGCAGCAACGCCGCGUGAGGGAUGACGGCCUUCGGGGGGUAAACUUCUUUUGUCAGGGACGAUGAUGACGGUACCUGGCGAAUAAGCCACGGCUAACUAAAAGCCAGCAGCCGCGGUAAUACGUAGGUGGCAAGCGUUGUCCGGAUUUACUGGGCGUAAAGAGCGCGC